Molecule: transfer RNA, 75 nt
Filed under: bacterium
Lineage: Bacteria
Description: tRNA-Asp
Rfam family: tRNA
About the family: Transfer RNA (tRNA) molecules are approximately 80 nucleotides in length.
Source: RNAcentral
GGAGUGGUAGCUCAAUUUGGUUAGAGCAUCUCACUGUCACUGAGAAGGUUGCGAGUUCGAGCCUCGUCCAUUCCG